Molecule: small RNA, 63 nt
Filed under: bovine gut metagenome
Description: cow-rumen-1 RNA
Rfam family: cow-rumen-1 RNA
About the family: cow rumen metagenome. Environment (Cow rumen (57))
Source: RNAcentral
CAAUGGUUGCCGAGUUAGAACUUAACGGCGUAACAAAACCAUCACCGGACACAGUCGAAGAGG